This 1190-nucleotide ribosomal RNA is filed under the name Chryseobacterium indoltheticum. RNAcentral's name for it is "bacterial SSU rRNA". It matches the Rfam family "Bacterial small subunit ribosomal RNA", at positions 129 to 1327 of the family's 1533-position model. Lineage: Bacteria; Pseudomonadati; Bacteroidota; Flavobacteriia; Flavobacteriales; Weeksellaceae. The record is from RNAcentral.
CCUUUAUCAGGGGGAUAGCCUUUCGAAAGGAAGAUUAAUACCCCAUAAUAUAAUGAGUGGCAUCACUUAUUAUUGAAAACUCCGGUGGAUAGAGAUGGGCACGCGCAAGAUUAGAUAGUUGGUAGGGUAACGGCCUACCAAGUCAGUGAUCUUUAGGGGGCCUGAGAGGGUGAUCCCCCACACUGGUACUGAGACACGGACCAGACUCCUACGGGAGGCAGCAGUGAGGAAUAUUGGACAAUGGGUGAGAGCCUGAUCCAGCCAUCCCGCGUGAAGGACGACGGCCCUAUGGGUUGUAAACUUCUUUUGUAUAGGGAUAAACCUUUCCACGUGUGGAAAGCUGAAGGUACUAUACGAAUAAGCACCGGCUAACUCCGUGCCAGCAGCCGCGGUAAUACGGAGGGUGCAAGCGUUAUCCGGAUUUAUUGGGUUUAAAGGGUCCGUAGGCGGAUCUGUAAGUCAGUGGUGAAAUCUCAUAGCUUAACUAUGAAACUGCCAUUGAUACUGCAGGUCUUGAGUAAAGUAGAAGUGGCUGGAAUAAGUAGUGUAGCGGUGAAAUGCAUAGAUAUUACUUAGAACACCAAUUGCGAAGGCAGGUCACUAUGUUUUAACUGACGCUGAUGGACGAAAGCGUGGGGAGCGAACAGGAUUAGAUACCCUGGUAGUCCACGCCGUAAACGAUGCUAACUCGUUUUUGGGCUUUCGGGUUCAGAGACUAAGCGAAAGUGAUAAGUUAGCCACCUGGGGAGUACGUUCGCAAGAAUGAAACUCAAAGGAAUUGACGGGGGCCCGCACAAGCGGUGGAUUAUGUGGUUUAAUUCGAUGAUACGCGAGGAACCUUACCAAGGCUUAAAUGGGAAUUGACAGGUUUAGAAAUAGACUUUUCUUCGGACAAUUUUCAAGGUGCUGCAUGGUUGUCGUCAGCUCGUGCCGUGAGGUGUUAGGUUAAGUCCUGCAACGAGCGCAACCCCUGUCACUAGUUGCCAUCAUUCAGUUGGGGACUCUAGUGAGACUGCCUACGCAAGUAGAGAGGAAGGUGGGGAUGACGUCAAAUCAUCACGGCCCUUACGCCUUGGGCCACACACGUAAUACAAUGGCCGGUACAGAGGGCAGCUACCUAGCGAUAGGAUGCGAAUCUCGAAAGCCGGUCUCAGUUCGGAUUGGAGUCUGCAACUCGCCUCUAUGAAGCU